Molecule: non-coding RNA, 104 nt
Organism: Acanthosepion pharaonis
Lineage: Eukaryota; Metazoa; Mollusca; Cephalopoda; Sepiida; Sepiidae
Source: the annotation of a GenBank genome assembly
UACGACCACAUCACAUUAAAAAAUCGGUUCCCUUACGAUCGCCGAAGUUAAACAACGUCGAGCCUGGCCAGUAACUAGAUGGGUGACCGCUUGGGAAUACCAGA